ACUGGGGUGAAGUCGUAACAAGGUAGCGCUAGGGGAACCUGGCGCUGGAUCACCUCCUUAUACGAUGAUUACUCACGAUGAGUGUCCACACAGAUUGAUGGUUU
RNAcentral lists this ribosomal RNA (104 nucleotides) under uncultured bacterium. Its description in RNAcentral is "partial 16S ribosomal RNA". The stretch from base 1 to 60 matches the Rfam family "Bacterial small subunit ribosomal RNA", at positions 1474 to 1533 of the family's 1533-position model. The record is from RNAcentral.